This 2857-nucleotide ribosomal RNA is filed under the name Vulpes vulpes (red fox). RNAcentral's name for it is "eukaryotic LSU rRNA". It matches the Rfam family "Eukaryotic large subunit ribosomal RNA", at positions 1109 to 3401 of the family's 3401-position model. The record is from RNAcentral. Lineage: Eukaryota; Metazoa; Chordata; Mammalia; Carnivora; Canidae.
GGGAAUGCGGAUGCCUAGUGGCCACUUUUGGUACGCAGAACUGGCGCUGGGAGGAACCAGACACUGGGUCAAGGUGCCUGAUGCCAAUGCUCAUCAGACCCCAGAAAAGGUGUUGGAUGACACAGGCAGCAGGAUAGCUAGUGGUCAUGGAAGUCGGAAUCCGAUAAGGAGUGUGUACUCACCUGCUGAAUCAACUAGCCCUGAAAAUGGAAGGCGCUGGAGUCUCGAGCCCAUACCUGGCUGUCGCUGGCAGUCGGUGACAUGCGUGGGAGGGACAGGAGUGGGCGGGGGGGCGCCAUGGUUCCCCCCACCCCGCAGACACUAGGACGGCCGCUGCAGCGAGCCUUGAAGCCUAGGGCGCGGGCCCGGUGGAGCCGCCGCAGGUGCAGAUCUUGGUGGUGGUAGCAAAUAUUCAAACGAGAACUUUGAAGGCCGAAGUGGAGAAGGGUUCCGUGGGCCAGUCGGUCCUGAGAGAUGGGCGAGCGCCUCCGAAGGGACGGCGAUGGCCUCCGUUGCCCUCGACCAAUUGGAAGGGAGUCGGGUUCAGAUCCCCGAGUCCGGCGUGGCGCGGCGGGGAAGGGCGCCGAGAGGCGUCCAGCGCGGUAACCAACCGAUCCCGGGAGGCCGGCAGGAGCCCGGGGAGACUUCUCUUUCCUUUCCUUUGUGAAGGGCAGGGCGCCGGAAUGGGUUCGCCCGAGAGGGGCCCGCGCCUUGGAAAGCGUCGCGGUUCCAGCAGUGCCCAGUGAGCUCUCGCUGGCCCUUGAAAAUCCAGGGGAGAAGGCGUAGAUCUCGCGCAGGCCGUACCCAUGUCCACAGCAGGUCUCCAAGGGGAACAGCCUGAGCCAUGUUGGAACAAUGUAGGUGAGGAAGUCGGCAAGCCGGAUCCCUAAGUAACUUCGGGAUAAGGAUUGGCCCUAAGGGCUGGGUCGGUCGGGCUGGGGCGCAAAGCCCAGCUGGGUGCGCACCGUGGCUGGACGAGGCUCUGCCACGCCCACACCCACCCCGCCUGGGACCCCCCUGCCGAGCCCGCCCCCAUGGCCCUCUGCCCCAUCCUGCCCGUCUCCCCUAACUCGCCUCUCUACGCUUCCCCUCCCAGGGUGGGGGCAGGGGGAGGUGGGAUGGAGGGGAGACCCCCACAGGGACCCACCGGAGCCCACAGGGGCCCAGGCGGGGGACCAGCGGUGGCAGCAGCAACACUGGACGCAAGUGGGGCCCUUCCCAUAGAUUGUCCCAGCUGUGCUGGGUGUCCUGGGCACACCCAGGGAGCCCAGCAGGCCUCACCACACACCUGUGGGGCAGGCGCAGGCGACGACGGGAGUCCCUGUCCCUGUCUUCCCCCACCCCCGCCCCCCCUUGCUGCUGAGGUGGUCGGCCUGCCGGUCCCCCCACCGGGUCCACCCCCAGGCCGCGGUUGUGCAUGUGGCCUCGCCUCAGCUGGCGCCUAGCAGCCGACUUAGAACUGGUGCGGACCAGGGGAGUACGACAGCUUAAUUGAAACAGCAUCGCGAAGGCCCGCGGUGGGUGUUGACACGAUGUGAUUUCUGCCCAGUGCUCUGAAUGUCAAAGUGAAGAAAUUGAAUGAAGCGCGGGUAAGGGGAUCCCUGGGUGGCGCAACGGUUUAGCGCCUGCCUUUGGCUCAGGGCGCGAUCCUGGAGUCCCGGGAUGGAGUCCCAUGUCAGGCCCCCGGUGCAUGGAGCCUGCUUCUCCCUCCUCCUGUGUCUCUGCUUCUCUCUCUCUCUAUCAUAAAUAAAUAAAUCUUAAAAAAAAAAAAAAGCGCGGGUAAAUGACAGGAGUAAAUAUGACUCUUAAGGCAGCCAAAUGCCUCGUAAUCUAAUAAGUGAUGCCAGGAAUGGAUACACAAGAUUCCCACUGUCCCUACCUACUAUCUGGCGAAAUCACAACCAAGGGAACAGACCUGGCAGAAUCAGCAGGGAAAGAAGACUCUAGUUUGACUCUAGUUUGGCAUGGUGAAGAGACAUGAGAGGUGUAGAAUAAGUGGGAGGCCCCCAACACCCAUCUGUCCCUGCAAGGGGACUGGACGAUGUCUGCCAGCCUUGUAGGACUCCAUUGAAAUACCACUACUCUUAUUGUUUUUUCGCUGACCCCGUGAGGCAGGGCUGCAAGCCCCCAAGGGGCUCUCAGUUCUGGCGCCAAGAGCCUGUUCAUGCCGGCUGGGUGCAACCCGCUCCGGGGACAGUACCAGGUGGGGAGUUUGCCUGGGGCGGUACACCUGUCAAACGGUAACGCAGGUGUCCUAAGGCGAGCUCAGGGAGGACAGAAACCUCCCGUGGAGCAGAAGGGCAAAAGCUCACUUGAUCUUGAUUUCCAAGACAAAUACAGACCAUGAAAGCAGGGCCUGACAAUCCUUCUGACCUUGUGAGUUUUAAGAGGAGGUGUCAGAAAAGUUACCACAGGGAUAACUGGCUUGUGGCAGCCAAGCCAGUCGCUUUUUGAUCCUUUGAUGUCGGCUCUUCCUAUCAUUGUGAAGCAGAAUUCACCAAGCGUUGGAUUGUUCACCCACUAAUGGGGAACGUGAGCUGGGUUUAGACCCUCGUGAGACAGGUUAGUUUUACCCUACUGAGGAUGUGUUGUUGCCAUGGUAAUCCUGCUCAGUACGAGAGGAACCGCAGGUUCAGACAUUUGGUGUAUGUGCUUGGCUGAGGAGCCAGUGGGGUGAAGCUACCAUCUGUGGGAUUAGGACUGUGAAUGCCUCUAAGUCAGAAUCCCGCCCAGGCAGAAUGAUAAGGCAGCACAAUGGGGCCUGGGUUGGCCUCGGAUAGCUGGUCCCUGACAUCCCUGCCAGCGGCCGCAGUGAGCACCCGGCAUAGCAUGGCAUGCCCAGCCCUGCACCAGGACC